GUUUGUAAUAUAUAAUUAAUCACCGGUAAGUUCGUAUAUAAGACAGAUCUUACACUACCAUGGUUAGUGUUUUAACCAGUUUCACAAAAUCAUCUGAAAAUGCAAGCUGUUUUUCUGAUUACAAUGGUGUUGGCGCUUUUCGCAUUGGCGUUUGCCAAUCCGUCACCAAACCCCAAUCCGAUGCCCAGACCAAAACCACAAUACUGGGGAUUUGGAUAUGGAAUGGGAAUGCCCUACUAUGGAAUGGGUUAUGGUUACUACUAUUAAAUUGUUGUCUCCGACUCUGUAUAUGAAACGUACUCUCAUUUUUGUUUAUUAAAUUUGUCUUGCUGUUUCGAA
Molecule: long non-coding RNA, 339 nt
Organism: Photinus pyralis (common eastern firefly)
Lineage: Eukaryota; Metazoa; Arthropoda; Insecta; Coleoptera; Lampyridae
Exons: 2
Source: RefSeq, a predicted model, not a curated record